Non-coding RNA from Megalopta genalis, 2903 nucleotides. Lineage: Eukaryota; Metazoa; Arthropoda; Insecta; Hymenoptera; Halictidae. The record is from RefSeq and is a predicted model, not a curated record.
ACAGAGUGCGAAGGUAACGAAACGCGGCGGUGCAUAGUUUUGUUUUGAAUCGCGAUGCGCCGCGGUGCAUCGUAAAAUGCAUCGUUCCACGUUUCGACUUAUUGCAUAACGGGCUGCAGGCGUCGCGGUAAACGAUGACGUACUUGUUUUGAUCCCGCAGAGUUAGUCUUGCAUGCUAUUUUCGUUCGAGCCGCGCAUUUUUAUUCCAUCUGCAGCGUUUCUUGCAUUGCCGCGCCGCAUGAUAAAGCGCCGCCGGUGCCUUGUUCAUUGCAUAAUAUAGAGCGGGACGAUCGGGAAACGCGAUAACAUUCGUGCAUCGAUGCGACGAACGAAGGGCUUUUAACGUUGAACCUAUCGCGGUCGAAUGACCGGUUACACGUUUCGCGAUUAGAAAAAUUAUGAUGACAAUUUCGCGAGAAAUAAUCGUGCGAAGCCCUUUGAUGCGGCAACUGCGGUAACAAAAACUGAAUCGAAAUAAAUUGGAUCGUCUUGCUUUCAUGGGGUAACGUGUAUCAUGGAAUUUUACUGUUUUUUAGGUUCAGCGUUAACACGCGGAACUACCAAACCAAUCAAACUAACUGGUUUCCGAGUUUUGCUUUUACAAUUCCUCUGAUGCUAUGAAAAUGUUUUCGUUAGAAACGUUUACAGGAACUUCCUCAUUGAAGCGCUUGUUGCAAAAAACAAAUUGUAGGAAUGAAUCCAAUCAUGUUAUUGCUACAAAAAAAAUGCAUUAUUCACGUUUAAGACUCGGUAGUUGCAGACGACUGUCGAAGUCUCCGAUUUCCAGGCAAGACGUUUGCGCUGAUUCGGCGACGAUGUCGACGAGAAGCGGCUAAUUAAAAAGGGAUAAUUGUGAACGGCCUCCGAGGCCGGUGCAUUUAUAAAUUGUUUCUAGCCUUCCACGGCUGGAUGGCCGGGUGAUUUAUGAGUUUUGGCGAUCGGACGGCCAGUCCGCGGGGUAGGAAACGCGAAAUACAAUGGCGGGCUCGCGGAACGAGCCCUGCAACGAUAUAAUGCCUUGGGCAAUAACCGGAAUAGGAUUGCCCUAACGCAUAUUAACGCUUCUAAUUUAUGCGAGUCCAUCGGCCGUGCGAGAUCGCUCAAACCCGGCUCACCAUUCAACCGUGGCAUCGCGGUUGGUCACUUUGCCCGCGUGCCGGCUGCGCUGCCGCGCCGUGUCGCUCUGAUACCGCGUUGAUCAACAGCUACAAAGGGACAGGGGAACACUUAGGAGCCCGGGGAACCGUAAUCCAGGAUCGCUGGAAUUCGAAUAUUUCCCAUUAAUAACGUCGAUUAUCUCAAUUAGAAAGUUUCCGGCCGCCAUCGAUCCGACGCGGCGCGUCACGCGCGACCUAUUCGCGAACAGCUGAUUUUUCAGGGAGGAAAAAGCAACAAAGCGUACAAAGCAACGCUUGGAUGUUGAAUUAGGAGCUGUGACAAGUGUCGCAGAAUUUUUUCAGAGUUUUCUAAAAGCCUGGACGAUGAGGAAUCGGGCUGAGAAACGAGACUGCGGAUUUGCAGAUUAUGGUCGCGAAAAAAGGCAAGGUAAAGGCCUUUUUAAAAGCCUGGAUGGUGAGGGAUCAGGCUGAGAAACGAGGCUGCGGGUUUGCAGAUUAUGUUCGCGAAAAGAGGCAAGGUAAAGACGCAUCGCCGCAGGACGCGAGGGAACGAAUGUGCAGCGCUAUCGCAACGCUGCAAUGACCGCGGAUAUUGCUGGAGAAAAAUCUGUGCUCGCUAAUACGAGAAUUUCGCGCGGCGACGAAGACUCGCCCGCUAAUUUCUUUCCGUUUUCCGACUGGACGCAUUCGCGUUCCGAUUUCCACGGACACCUGGCCAGCACGGCAAAUUGCAAGUCGCGUUCGGAGUCCUGCACGGUUCACAGGAGGGAACGGAAAAAUUUCGAGCGAUAAUUCGAGCGUUGUUUUUGGGCAAGCCGUCCCGACGAGACGCGACGCGACGGUUUAAUGUUACGUACAGGGUGUAACAAAAAUAAAUGUCGCGAUCACGCCGGGUCGAUUCUACACGCUCGAUUUAGCCGGAAACAAUGUAAGCAAGGCGCCGCGAGAUUGACCUCGACCUCGAUAAAAAGUCAAGCGGGUCGAAAGGUUGCAAAUUUUGCGAAUUAAAUUAAAAAUCAAAUCUCUUACCAACAAUCUGUUAACUGGUCCUUGACAAAUUCGGUCUUCGAGACGACCGGGCAAAGCGAUAAAAUGAAAUUUGCAACGAUUUGACCUUUCGACUUUUUUCGCAGUCCAGGUCAAUUUAGCGUCGCCUUGCUUACGUCGUUUUCCGGUAGAUCGAAGGUGCGGUAUUUUUGGGUGUAUUUUUGUUACACCCUGUACAAUGCUAUUGGUCCCUAGACAGAUAUCGUCCGUUCUCGUUAUUCCGUUGAUGAAAAUAUUCCACUCUGAAUAACGAUGGGACAAAAAUGAUCCGGGCUCCUCGGUCCGGUUCGCUAACCGCGCUGAUUUCGAAUGCCGAACCGAAAAUUAAUGAAAACCAUUCGCUGUGACUGCGUUUUUCCCGGCAACGGGACACGGACGUUCGCAUGCAUUACCGACCGGCGUUCAUUGUUUGUCUUAUCGUUCGCAUUCGACGCCAUCGAGUCGACGAUACGCCGUAUUCGGCUUCGAUACCUGAACCAGCGCGGCUGAUUAAUAAGGCACCGCAUCAAAGGAAUAUUCAUUCGGCGACGAGACUCACCGAUUAGCGUGUUCGGGUCUCGAGAGAUUCGAUCACCGGACUAACAUUACUGCAACGUAUCGCCGUAAUCUUCGCUCGAUCCAAAUUGCAUCGCCGCGAUCACUAAUCAGCACCUUCAUUAACACAGGAAUUAUUUUAUUUUUUCAUUCGUACAGAUAGAACUGAUUAGAUAAUGCUAUUAUGUAUUAUUAUAUAAUACU